UGCUGGAUGGUCUAACGGAAGGACGCGUGGCUCUGAACCACGAAAGUGCAGGUUCGAAUCCUGCUCCAGCAGCC
Molecule: transfer RNA, 74 nt
Filed under: Actinomadura sp. RB99
Lineage: Bacteria; Bacillati; Actinomycetota; Actinomycetes; Streptosporangiales; Thermomonosporaceae
Description: tRNA-Gln
Rfam family: tRNA
About the family: Transfer RNA (tRNA) molecules are approximately 80 nucleotides in length. Their secondary structure includes four short double-helical elements and three loops (D, anti-codon, and T loops).
Source: RNAcentral